RNAcentral lists this long non-coding RNA (496 nucleotides) under Equus caballus (horse). RNAcentral describes it as "lncRNA (ENSECAG00000037223.3)". Lineage: Eukaryota; Metazoa; Chordata; Mammalia; Perissodactyla; Equidae. The record is from RNAcentral.
GUUUCCGUAGGUCGGGAGUCCAGCCACCGCUCAGCUUCAUCCUCUGCAAGACUGAAGUCAAAGUGUCUGCCAGGAUUGAGGUUUCAUCUGAGACUUGACUGAGGAAGGAUCCACUUCCGUGUUCACUCAGGGUGUCAGCAAAACAAUAAGCAGUAUCUGCCCAGGGAGCUGAGCAGAGGGCGUGUGUCAUGUGGGUGGAAGUUUGGAGCCGGAGUGGUGGCUGUUUGUUACUGAAAGAAAAAGCUACUUCUCCUGGAGCCCUCCAUCCUUAUGCCCCAACGUGGACUGGAGACUUUUUAGUCAUUUGCCCAGAUGACUAUGUGCCCACAUGCAGAGUAUUGCAACUUUCUUUCAUCAAUAUCUUGGAACCCACCUUCAUUUCUCUUUCAAAUAUUGGAACUUCUCUGUCCUACCUUCCUUGCUUUUUGUGCAACAUAUCUUCCAGUAGUUUCCAUGGACAUGGCAAAAGAGACAGCAUUUUCCUUUUUAGAUUUCG